RNAcentral lists this transfer RNA (77 nucleotides) under Rhodobacter capsulatus SB 1003. RNAcentral describes it as "tRNA-Trp". It matches the Rfam family "tRNA". From Rfam's summary of the family: Transfer RNA (tRNA) molecules are approximately 80 nucleotides in length. Their secondary structure includes four short double-helical elements and three loops (D, anti-codon, and T loops). Further hydrogen bonds mediate the characteristic L-shaped molecular structure. tRNAs have two regions of fundamental functional importance: the anti-codon, which is responsible for specific mRNA codon recognition, and the 3' end, to which the tRNAs corresponding amino acid is attached (by aminoacyl-tRNA synthetases). tRNAs cope with the degeneracy of the genetic code in two manners: having more than one tRNA (with a specific anti-codon) for a particular amino acid; and 'wobble' base-pairing, i.e. permitting non-standard base-pairing at the 3rd anti-codon position. The record is from RNAcentral. Lineage: Bacteria; Pseudomonadati; Pseudomonadota; Alphaproteobacteria; Rhodobacterales.
CAGGAGUUUAGCUCAGUUGGUAGAGCAUCGGUCUCCAAAACCGAGGGUCGUGGGUUCGAGUCCCCCAACUCCUGCCA